AACAUCGCGCACCUGCGGGAACCUGCGGAUGGAUCAUUACAGAGUUGCAAAACUCCCUAAACCAUUGUGAACGUUACCUAAACCGUUGCUUCGGCGGGCGGCCCGGGUCCUUCCCGGCGCCCAUCGGCCCUCGCGGGCGCCCGCCGGAGGUAAACCAAACUAUUGCAUUGUAUGGCCUCUCUGAGUCUUCUGUACUGAAUAAGUCAAAACUUUCAACAACGGAUCUCAGAUCGGAAGAGC
This 240-nucleotide unclassified non-coding RNA is filed under the name soil metagenome. Its description in RNAcentral is "partial contains 5.8S ribosomal RNA, internal transcribed spacer 2, and large subunit ribosomal RNA". The record is from RNAcentral.